Molecule: non-coding RNA, 484 nt
Organism: Camelina sativa (false flax)
Lineage: Eukaryota; Viridiplantae; Streptophyta; Magnoliopsida; Brassicales; Brassicaceae
Source: RefSeq, a predicted model, not a curated record
UACUGUUUUUGAUACUUAGACGUUAGUUGCUGUAUAGAUUAGUGUUAGGAAAGAUCUUCAUGUCUAAAUCUUCAUCCCUUUUUGCUGUAUAUAUAGGUGGUGAUUUUGGAAUCAGGUCUCACAAAUCCACAGCUAGGUUUACGCGCACUCUCCAGGGCGUUGUCACAAAGGGGAAUUGCAAAGAAUAUCUUGGUGAUUGCUAAGGCUUGUGUACCAAUUAUCAAGUUCGUUGACAUUUUAGCAUAUAGUUUUGGUGUAUCCUUCUAAACAGAAAGUGGUUGUUAAUGUGAAGUCAAAGCUAAAGUCAUUAUGGAAAGUGGUGAUGUUCCUUCAUUCAUCAAGCUUCUCAGCUCUCCCAGUGAGGAAGUCCGGGAACAGGUAUCAGUUUAGAUUUUGAUUUUUGUAUAAUGUUUUGGCUAAGAAGCUGUUAUAUCAUAUUGUUUGAUGACUCUAAAUUAUGAAAUGCAAUAAUUUUAUAAACAUU